RNAcentral lists this ribosomal RNA (482 nucleotides) under uncultured bacterium. Its description in RNAcentral is "partial 16S ribosomal RNA". It matches the Rfam family "Bacterial small subunit ribosomal RNA", at positions 30 to 507 of the family's 1533-position model. The record is from RNAcentral.
AUUGAACGCUGGCGGCAUGCCUUACACAUGCAAGUCGAACGGUAACGGGCCUUCGGGUGCCGACGAGUGGCGAACGGGUGAGUAAUACAUCGGAACGUGCCCGAUCGUGGGGGAUAACGAGGCGAAAGCUUUGCUAAUACCGCAUACGAUCUACGGAUGAAAGCAGGGGACCGCAAGGCCUUGCGCGGACGGAGCGGCCGAUGGCAGAUUAGGUAGUUGGUGAGAUAAAAGCUUACCAAGCCGACGAUCUGUAGCUGGUCUGAGAGGAUGAUCAGCCACACUGGGACUGAGACACGGCCCAGACUCCUACGGGAGGCAGCAGUGGGGAAUUUUGGACAAUGGGCGCAAGCCUGAUCCAGCCAUGCCGCGUGCAGGAUGAAGGCCCUCGGGUUGUAAACUGCUUUUGUACGGAACGAAAAGCCUUCUUUUAAUACAGGAGGGUCAUGACGGUACCGUAAGAAUAAGCACCGGCUAACUACGUG